UUUACUGAGAGUUUGAUCCUGGCUCAGGAUUAACGCUGGCGGCAUGUCUAAGGCAUGCAAGUCGAACGAAUUGUUUUUCUUCGGAAGUUCAGUUAGUGGCAAACGGGAGCGUAACACAUUGGUAACUCACCCCGAGCUCGUGAACAACUUAUGGAAACGUAAGCUAAUACACGAUAUUAUCCCUACAGAUAUGUAGGGAUGAAAGUUACGGCGGCACGGGAGAGGCCUAUGCACUAUCAGCUAGUUGGAGAGGUAACGGCUCACCAAGGCUAUGACGGUUACCGGGCGCGAGAGCGUGGCCCGGCUCACUGGGACUGAGACACUGCCCAGACACCUACGGGUGGCUGCAGUCAAGAAUCUUCCUCAAUGGACGCAAGUCUGAAGGAGCAAUGCCGCGUGCAGGAUGAAGGCCUUCGGGUCGUAAACUGCUUUUAUUUGGGACGAACAAAUGACGGUACCAAAUGAAUAAGGGGUUGCUAACUCUGUGCCAGCAGCAGCGGUAAUACAGAGACCCCAAGCGUUAUCCGGAUUUAUUGGGCGUAAAGCGUCUGUAGGCUGUUUUGUGUGUCGUGCGUCAAAUCUUCGGGCUCAACCCGGAGGCUGCGUGCGAAACUGCAAGACUUGAGAGUGGGAGAGGUAUAUGGAAUUACUGGUGUAGCGGUAAAAUGCGUUAAUAUCAGUAAGAACACCAAAGGCGAAGGCAAUAUACUGGAACAUUUCUGACGCUCAGAGACGAAAGCGUGGGUAGCGAAUGGGAUUAGAUACCCCAGUAGUCCACGCCGUAAACGAUGAAUGCUAGGUAUUGGGAGUAUCGACCCUCUCAGUGCCGACGAAACUAGUUAACACAUUAAGCAUUCCGCCUGGGGAGUACGGUCGCAAGACUAAAACUCAAAGGAAUAGACGGGGACCCGCACAAGCGGUGGAGCGUGCGGUUUAAUUCGAUGGUAAGCGAGAAACCUUACCUGGGCUUGAAAAACAGCUGCAAGCCACCCGAAAGGGAGGCCGCUUUCGAAGGUGCUGUUUAGGUGCUGCAUGGUUGUCGUCAGCUCGUGGUGUGAACUGUUCCCUUAAGUGGGGUAACGAGCGCAACCCUUAUCAUGUGUUAUAUUUGUCACAUGAGACUGCCCGGGCAACCGGGAGGAAGGUGAGGAUGACGUCAAAUCAGCAUGGCCCUUACGUCCAGGGCUACACGCGCGCUACAAUGGUAGGAACAAUGGGUUGCCAAGUCGUAAGACGGAGCUAAUCCCGCAAAACCUACCUCAAUACAGAUUGAGGUCUGCAACUCGACCUCAUGAAGACGGAAUCGCUAGUAACGGCCAAUCAUCAGGUGGCCGUGAAUACGUUCUCGGGUCUUGUACUCACCGCCCGUCACGUCAAGAGAGUCGGUAACACCCGAACGCCGCCGUAGGGCGUCGGAAGGUGGGAUCGAUAAUAGGGACGAAGUCGUAACAAGGCACCCGUAGCGGAAGCUGUGGGUGGAUCACCUCCUUUCUA
This 1494-nucleotide ribosomal RNA is filed under the name Candidatus Uhrbacteria bacterium RIFCSPHIGHO2_01_FULL_47_10. RNAcentral describes it as "bacterial SSU rRNA". It matches the Rfam family "Bacterial small subunit ribosomal RNA". RNAcentral also lists the same sequence under 5 other names. The record is from RNAcentral. Lineage: Bacteria; Candidatus Uhriibacteriota.